UACAGAGGGGGCAAGCGUUGUUCGGAAUUACUGGGCGUAAAGGGCGCGUAGGCGGCCUGCUAAGUCGAACGUGAAAUCCCUGGGCUCAACCCAGGAACUGCGUCCGAUACUGGUUGGCUUGAAUCCGGGAGAGGGAUGUGGAAUUCCAGGUGUAGCGGUGAAAUGCGUAGAUAUCUGGAGGAACACCGAUGGCGAAGGCAGGUCUCUGGGCAUUAACUGACGCUGAGGAGCGAAAGCAUGGGGAGCGAACAGG
RNAcentral lists this ribosomal RNA (253 nucleotides) under uncultured bacterium. Its description in RNAcentral is "partial 16S ribosomal RNA". It matches the Rfam family "Bacterial small subunit ribosomal RNA", at positions 524 to 776 of the family's 1533-position model. The record is from RNAcentral.